GAUUGUCUGGUGCCAGCAGCCGCGGUAAUUCCAGCUCCAAUAGAGUAUAUUAACGUUGUUGCAGUUGAAAAGUUCGUAGUCCCAUUUCUUGUAAGAGCGGCCUGGCCUUUCACGAAUGUGAUUGUUUAGCUGUGUGCUGUCUUUGGCAAUCCUCUUUUGCUUUUCGGAGCAGAAGUCAUUUACUGUAAAAAAAUUAGAGUGUUCAAAGCAAAACGUAUGUUUGGAAUAUAAUAGUAUGGAAUAAUAAGAUAGGAUGGCUAUGCUAUUUUGUUGGUUUGUACAUGGUCAUAAUGAUGAAUAGGGACAAUUGGGAGUAUUCGUAUUUAGUUGUCAGAGGUGAAAUUCUUGGAUUUACAAAAGACGAACGACUGCGAAGGCAUUUACUAAAGAUGUUUUCAUUGAUCAAGAACGAAAGUUGGG
RNAcentral lists this ribosomal RNA (420 nucleotides) under Thraustochytriidae sp. BS5. RNAcentral describes it as "bacterial SSU rRNA". It matches the Rfam family "Eukaryotic small subunit ribosomal RNA", at positions 555 to 994 of the family's 1831-position model. The record is from RNAcentral. Lineage: Eukaryota; Bigyra; Thraustochytrida; Thraustochytriidae.